RNAcentral lists this ribosomal RNA (445 nucleotides) under uncultured bacterium. RNAcentral's name for it is "bacterial SSU rRNA". It matches the Rfam family "Bacterial small subunit ribosomal RNA", at positions 82 to 504 of the family's 1533-position model. The record is from RNAcentral.
ACCUUUCUGUAAAGCGGCGGACUGGUGAGUACGCGUGGGUGACCUGCCUUUAGGGUCGGGGAUAGCACGUUAGAAAUAGCGGGUAAUACCGGAUGUGAUCGCAUAAGCUGUGGUCUGUGUGAGGAAAGGUGCCACGGCAUCGCCUGAAGAUGGGCCCGCGUCCCAUUAGCUAGUUGGUGGUGUAAAGGACUACCAAGGCGAAGAUGGGUAGCCGGCCUGAGAGGGUGAACGGCCACACUGGGACUGAGAUACGGCCCAGACUCCUACGGGAGGCAGCAGCUAAGAAUAUUCCGCAAUGGACGAAAGUCUGACGGAGCGACGCCGCGUGGAUGAGGAAGGCCGAAAGGUUGUAAAAUCCUUUUAGUUCGCAUGAAGAAUAAGUGCACGAGUAGGGAAUGACCUGUUGAUGACGUUAGGCAAGUGCAAUAAGCCCCCGGCUAAUUAA